RNAcentral lists this ribosomal RNA (394 nucleotides) under uncultured bacterium. RNAcentral describes it as "bacterial SSU rRNA". It matches the Rfam family "Bacterial small subunit ribosomal RNA", at positions 30 to 424 of the family's 1533-position model. The record is from RNAcentral.
AUUGAACGCUGGCGGAAUGCUUUACACAUGCAAGUCGAACGGCAGCACGGACUUCGGUCUGGUGGCGAGUGGCGAACGGGUGAGUAAUAUAUCGGAACGUGCCCAGUCGUGGGGGAUAACGUAGUGAAAAUUACGCUAAUACCGCAUACGAUCUACGGAUGAAAGCGGGGGAUCGCAAGACCUCGCGCGAUUGGAGCGGCCGAUAUCAGAUUAGGUAGUUGGUGAGGUAAAGGCUCACCAAGCCGACGAUCUGUAGCUGGUCUGAGAGGACGACCAGCCACACUGGAACUGAGACACGGUCCAGACUCCUACGGGAGGCAGCAGUGGGGAAUUUUGGACAAUGGGCGCAAGCCUGAUCCAGCAAUGCCGCGUGCAGGAAGAAGGCCUUCGGGUU